CACACUGGGACUGAGACACGGCCCAGACUCCUACGGGAGGCAGCAGCAGGGAAUUUUGCGCAAUGGACGAAAGUCUGACGCAGCAACGCCGCGUGGGGGAUGAAGGCCUUCGGGUUGUAAACCCCUUUCAGGAGGGAAGAAAAUGACGGUACCUCCAGAAGAAGCACCGGCCAACUACGUGCCAGCAGCCGCCGUAACAC
Molecule: ribosomal RNA, 200 nt
Filed under: uncultured bacterium
Lineage: Bacteria
Description: partial 16S ribosomal RNA
Rfam family: Bacterial small subunit ribosomal RNA
Source: RNAcentral